RNAcentral lists this unclassified non-coding RNA (353 nucleotides) under soil metagenome. RNAcentral describes it as "partial contains 5.8S ribosomal RNA, internal transcribed spacer 2, and large subunit ribosomal RNA". The stretch from base 1 to 120 matches the Rfam family "5.8S ribosomal RNA", at positions 35 to 154 of the family's 154-position model. The record is from RNAcentral.
GAUGAAGAACGUAGCGAAAUGCGAUAAGUAAUGCGAAUUGCAGAAUUCAGUGAGUCAUCGAAUCUUUGAACGCACAUUGCGCCCUGUGGUAUUCCGCAGGGCAUGCCUGUUCGAGCGUCAUUUCAACCCUCAGGGCCCGCCUGCUUCGGCAGGCGCGGCGCUGGUGUUGGGGAUCGGCCUAACCGCCGUCCCCCAAAUACAGUGGCGGUCUCGCUGCAGCCUCCCCUGCGUAGUAGCAACACUCGCAUGCGGAGCGCGGCGCGGCCACGCCGUAAAACCCCCGACUUUCUGAACGUUGACCUCGGAUCAGGUAGGAAUACCCGCUGAACUUAAGCAUAUCAAUAAGCGGAGGA